AUUAGUUUGUGAUGACAAAUUAUCUUUCGCCCCUAACUGAAUGUUGGAAACUUCUAAUGUUGAAUGCGAAUUGAUUGGUCUUACUGAAUGUAUAUG
Non-coding RNA from Stomoxys calcitrans (stable fly), 96 nucleotides. The record is from Rfam. Lineage: Eukaryota; Metazoa; Arthropoda; Insecta; Diptera; Muscidae.